GAGCACGUAGGUGGGUUUGUAAGUCAGAUGUGAAAGCCUUCUGUUCAACGGAAGAAUUGCAUCUGAAACUGCGAGUCUUGAGUGUAGGAGGGGAGAAUGGAACUUCUGGUGGAGCGGUGAAAUGCGUAGAUAUCAGAAGGAACGCCGGCGGCGAAAGCGAUUCUCUGGCCUAUUACUGACACUCAGUGUGCGAAAGCUAGGGGAGCAAACGGGAUUAGAUACCCCGGUAGCCCUAGCCGUAAGCGAUGGGCACUAAGUAGAGGGGUUUU
This 269-nucleotide ribosomal RNA is filed under the name uncultured Planctomycetales bacterium. RNAcentral describes it as "partial 16S ribosomal RNA". It matches the Rfam family "Bacterial small subunit ribosomal RNA", at positions 565 to 832 of the family's 1533-position model. Lineage: Bacteria; Pseudomonadati; Planctomycetota; Planctomycetia; Planctomycetales. The record is from RNAcentral.